RNAcentral lists this long non-coding RNA (254 nucleotides) under Pelobates cultripes (western spadefoot toad). The record is from RNAcentral. Lineage: Eukaryota; Metazoa; Chordata; Amphibia; Anura; Pelobatidae.
AGCUGUUGUCCGUGUGUUAUUGCUUACAAUGAUUCUCCAUCAACGUUGAUUAUGGUGACCGAGGGAUCGAGAACCGAGGGGAUUAGAGUCCAUUACAACAUUAACCCUUUCAGCUUGGUGUCAGAAGUGGGAUAGAAGUUGGAUCAGCAAAACCAUUUGCGGUGAGUAGCCUUUUUGUGUCUUAUUUGACGCUGAUUGUCUAUGACCCCCCUUUGGUUCAGUAAGACUGUAUCCAGUAGAUAGGAAAGGUGUAA